This 253-nucleotide ribosomal RNA is filed under the name uncultured bacterium. Its description in RNAcentral is "partial 16S ribosomal RNA". It matches the Rfam family "Bacterial small subunit ribosomal RNA", at positions 524 to 776 of the family's 1533-position model. The record is from RNAcentral.
GACAGAGGGGGCGAGCGUUGUCCGGAGUUACUGGGUGUAAAGGGCGCGCAGGCGGCAGUCUAAGUGAUGGGUGAAAGCCCACGGCUCAACCGGGGGAUGGCAUGGCAUACUGGAUAGCUUGAGUUGGGGUGAGGCCGCUAGAAUUGGUGGCGUAGCGGUGAAAUGCAUAGAGAUCGCCAGGAAGACCGAGGGGGAAGGCAGGGUGCUGGCCGCAGACUGACGCUGAGGCGCGACAGCGUGGGGAUCAAACCGG